RNAcentral lists this ribosomal RNA (455 nucleotides) under uncultured eukaryote. Its description in RNAcentral is "bacterial SSU rRNA". It matches the Rfam family "Eukaryotic small subunit ribosomal RNA", at positions 664 to 1115 of the family's 1831-position model. The record is from RNAcentral.
CAGGAUACUCUCUUGGUGUGUACUGGGUGUUAACCUCCUUUUUUUCUGGUACUUGCUAUCCAGCAAUGGGUAGUUUUGUCCAGAUAGUUUACUUUGAAAAAUUAGAGUGUUCAAAGCAGGCAUAAUUGGCAUCAUGAAUACAUUAGCAUGGGAUAAUAGAAUAUGACAUUGGUCUUAUUUUGUUGGUUUCUAAGGCCAAAGUAAUGAUUGAUAGGGAUAGUUGGGGCCGCUCGUAUUGAGUUGUCAGAGGUGAAAUUCUAGGAUUUACUCAAGACGAACUAAUGCGAAAGCAUUCGGCAAGGAUGUUUUCAUUAAUCAAGAACGAAAGUUGGGGGAUCGAAGAUGAUCAGAUACCGUCGUAGUCUCAACCAUAAACUAUGUCAACCGAGGAUCCGGUAGCGUUACAUGGAUGACCUUCCGGGCACUCUGUGAGAAAUCAUAAGUAUUUGGAUUUC